AGAAAGUGCAAUAACAACUAUCCCGUGACAAUAAAUAGACACAUGGAAACAUAUAUAUUAAGAUGCCAAUAACCUAUAGGUCAAAGAUAAAAUAUCGACUUAUUCUAUUUGGAAAUACUUCGAAAAAUACAUCUUUACACAAUUUUUCCUUGCUCCUUUGUUUAGAAGGCAACAUGGCUAACGGAACACCAAAUCUCAGGUAAGAGUUCUAUAGACUUCCCAAGAUGACCGGAAAGACACAAUCUGAAAGCACUUUUUAAAGAGAUUUUUGAAAAGCUAGUAAAAGCCAAAUUAAUUCUUUUCUACACCCUUAAGAUUUAUCCUACUAUUAUCUUCUAGAACUUUAUAGUGUUCCAUAGUUCUAUAGAUACUUUUUAGCUAGUACAAUUAUCUUACAAUAGUAGAGGAGACGGAAGCCUCUCAUGGAAUGUCGGAAGACCUGUUACAGGGUCCUGCAUCCAAAUGAAAGACCAGUAAAUACAAGGAAGCAGAAAAAUUAACAGAGAUUCAAUAGGAGAGGGAGCACUACUUGCCUUUAACCAAAACACCAGUGACCCAAACAAUUCAGUUUAUGGGUUCAGAUCUGAAUUGGUUACUGGUUUUGAUUUAGAAAAAUAUAAGUUCUACAAAGUUUUUAGUUAUCAAAAAGCCUGGUUGUUGCAUCAUAAAAUAAGCUAAAAAAUAGAACCGUGUGGUUCAGUGAUUGGCUUGCCCCUUAAAGACGAAUAUCUAAAUUGAGUGAAUUCCAGCCUCAAAGUUCAACGCUCUGAUUAGAAAGGAAAAUUUAGGAAAAUUGUCAUUGGCUGGAGUAAAGAACACACCGUAAAAGGAAGGGAACUCAGGUUCAGGUCCAGACUUCUCCACGAUCCCCACUCCUCAGUGAAAAGUGGCCACAUCCAAUGGAUGACAUCUUUCCAGCCAACCUACAAUCAGCAAAAGCCUCAACUCAUGCAAUUGCUGUCUUUACUCAAAGAAAAUAAGACUAAAAUGCAGGGGAAGGACUCAUAUAACAUUAACAACCUAACAGGGUUGAAACAAAAUUGACGAUCAAUCAGCUGGUAUUAGUACUGAAGAAGCUUAUACCACAGGCACAAAAUUUGAAAUGUAGAUGAAGAUUUUACUAGAAUCACAGCCAUAAGUCCAUCCAUUAACUCACUGUACAUUUUAAAUGAAAAGUGGAACUGAUUUUCCAAAUGAAAGUCGGUGAAUAAUAUACCAAGCGGCUACAGAAUUCGUCAAGUACCUUGUCAGUGGGAGCUUCCUGGAGAUGGUUAUAUAAACCUGGAUGUUCUUUCCUAAAUUGCCGUUCAAAUGAUGAUGGAGCACUACAUUGCAUGAGGAGAGCAAAAAGUCAGACAAACAAGCAGUGUAGGUUCUGCAUUAACAUCCAACCUAAGUGUCCAGAUACUAGAGAAAUUUCAAAUGCCCAAGAUGCUUCAGAAUGAACAGAUGAAAGAUGAGCAUAUUUUACACAUAAGUAAGGGAUUCAUGAGUUUAAAUGCUUGGCCUCCAUAUACUCAAACAGGUCUACCUUACUAGUAACAAAGAAAGCAAGUGAGUCCAGAACAAGAAGUUCAUGGAGAGAUGUUCAUCAAGUUCAUUGCCAUACGAAGCAAAUCCAUGGUAUACCAAUUAACAAAUUAAAGGAGCCAUAAAUUGUUGUAACUUGUAAAUAAAUACAUAGUUAAAGACAGAGGUAAAGACAAUAUGAUUGUUAUCGAAAGAAGGGAAAUAAGAAAGUUUCUCUUGCUACCUAUAGGGAACAACAUAAGGAGCAACCACAAUGCAACGGACCCGAAAAAGCUCAGCAAAACUCCAACCUUCCUGGAACUCAAGUUAUACGGUGAAAAAAACAAAGCGUUGCGACUGUACUAUAAUUGACAAUGACUAUACUUCCUGUACAUAUAAUUGAAAGCAAUUCACCUCCUCAUUCCUUCUCUCCACAUCCUCCUCCCCCAAACUUUCUACCCUUCUAAGGAGAUAGACUCGCCAAGCUCAUCUUGAUGAAAGGAAAUUUCCUCUCUAAAAACAAAAAUUAAAAGGGAUAUAGAACAAUUAAAUGCCAGAGAAUUUACCAGAGCGAAGAAAUUAAUAGCAAUAACAUCGCCUUCCACUGAGCUAUCUCCAAAGAUAUCCUCAAUAAUCGAAGUACACUCAUACCUAUGUUUCUGGAUAAUUUCCCUUUUGUGGGCAGAAAAAGAUAACUCCAUCUUACCUGAUCAACAUGCAGUACUUGAUUGAUGAUAUAUUGGGAUAAGAACAAACAUAACGAAGCUGUAUAAAGUGACAUACCACAAUGUUCAAGAGGGGAAACAACAGGUGGCGAUGAAACCGGUAUAUACGUAACUUUAUUUGCUCUCAAGUGCACCAUCAAGUUCUGUCAGGAACAAAAGGAAAUAAAAGAAAGAAAAAAAAACUCUGAAGCAUUCAGUGUCAACUUUCUGAAAUGCCACAUAUUUAUGUUCAAAGAGAAAAGAAUUUGGCUGCCUUAUCCAGCCUAAAGGCUAAAUUAUCUGGGUUUCUUUCCAGGGCUUGCUGAAAUCAAACUAGAUCACUUUAUAUAAACACAAACAACACAAUAACAUGUCCAAAAACAAUCUCCUCUUAAAAUUGCGACAACAAGCAACAAAUAAGAAUUGUUCUGCUUUUGCUAACCUCAUGAGCUGAAUGAGUGAUAAAAACCACUUGAUAUUGCUCUUGAUCACAAGCAAACGCUGCAGCAAUGGCCUAUUCAUCAAGUCACUAAUUAAAAUAUAUGGCACAAGUAAAAGAAAACCUCUAUAUAGGUAAUUAAUGAUUCAUACAAACAUUUCCAUUGUAUAUUGUGAAGGGAAUAUACAAGGCCUGUCAUGAAAUUCAGCACAAGAAAGAUAACCCAAAACUUUGAGCCUACAGAAACCAGUACAGCACAAAAUCCAGAAAUAGAAACUAUUUCAAUAUUGACACACAGAUAAAUGUAAAGGGGCGAAAAAUUAUUCGAAUAUUGAAUGUUUAGAUAAAUUUUCAAUUAGUUGCAAUAACAAUUGAAUGUCAAUGCGAUGCAUUACAUUUACACACACAAAAAAAAAAACGAAGAGGAGGAAGAGGGUUACGGCAAGAGGGUAGAUAUCGCCUUUAGUUCCGAAAGCCAUGAAAACAGCGACUGGUUUGCUCCUCAUCUUCUUCAAUUACUCCUUCCUUCACUUUACGACUUCUGGUUCUUAACAAUUUUCACCUAUUUUUGUCAUUUUUUCUGAAAUUCAAGGAUACAUCAGAAUUUUAUUUUAUUUUAUUUUUUCAGAAUGUGCAUUUUUUGCUGCAAAAUUCUAAAAUAGUUACUCCUCCAUUAAUAAAAUUAAAAUAAUAUUAAUUAUUUUUUCCAUUUGGUUAAAUUUUUAAAAUGAGAAAAAAGUUUAUUGUGUUUCAUCAAUAAAUUUUAAAAGCGUUUUAAAGUAAUAAUUAGUGUUUGAGUAUUUUUCAAGAAACCUACUAUAACGAUCAACAACUAUAGUUAGUCGAUAUUGUUUGCCACCAUUACUACUAGCCCACUCAUUAUCACCACACUCCCAACAUAAUCCCAAUCGACACCUACAACCAUCAUUGCUAGCAAUCAUCACCUUUAAUUGUCAUAUAAUUUUUAAAAGUAUCUUAAUAUAGUAUAAAUAUACAAUUUAAUAGUUCAUUUAAAUUUUAUAUUAUUAAUUCUAAAGAAAUGUAAUUUCACAUAUUCACAUGCUGAAAUAACAAAUAGUCUUAAUUGUUUAGUAUAAAUUUUUUAGUAUAAUAUCUUAAUAUUCAAGUAUGCAUUUAGUUUAAAAUGUCUCAAUCUUUAACGAAAACAAUUAGGAAUUAAGGAGGUGAAAGGAAUACAAAUAUUAAAUUGAGAUUAAAUAAUAAAUAAGAGUAGUUUAAUCAAUCAUCCUUGUAAUUAAUAUUUUUUUAAAAAGAAAUGCAAAAGAAAAAUGUGACAACCAAAAUGAACCUAAGGGUAGCACUAGAUAUUAGAAAUAUUUCUUGAUAUUGAUCGACACAUAAAAAUGAUUCUUCCAAAUUCCUUUUAUUCUGUCCUAAAAAAGAAAUCAACCCCUCAUAUACUUGGAAACUAUUUAAUUUAGCAUUCAUAAAAUGUUUCCCUCUAAGUUCAUUUUAGGUGAUUUUUAAAGGUUUUGACCAGAUUCCUUUUAUUCUAACCUAAAAAAGAUUGACCCAUUAUAUACUUAGAAACUAUUUAAAUUAACAUCCAUAAAAAUGCUUUUCUCAAGUCAAUUUAGGUAAUUUUUAAAAAGAUUUUAACCGAAUUCCUUUUAUUCUAUUUUUAAAAAAUUGACCCCUCAUAUACUAGAAAAUUAUUUAAUUUAGCAUUUAUAUAUUGCUUCCCACUAGUCCAUUUUAGGUGAUUUUUAAAGAUUUUGACUAAAUUCCUUUUAUUCUAUCCUAAAAAUGAUCGAUCCAAUGGUACUCAAAAACUAUUUAAUCUAACAUUCAGAGAUUAUUAUCCCCUGUCCAUUUUAAGUGAUUUUUAAAAAGAUUCUCUCAUUAAAAAAAGUCAACUAUUAACAUUAAUGAAAUGAGUUAUUUUAUUAAACAUUUGUUUAAUAAUUUAUUAGACAAGGAUAAUUUUGGAAAAAAAGUUAUUAAUAAAUUUAUGGAAUUUUAAAUUCAACAACCAUAUUUAGACAACUUUUUAUUUUACAUUACUAUCGUGCAAUUUUGAUUUAAUAAAGCAAUACAUUUUUGGACAGUGAAUAAUAAAUAAUAAAGAAAUCGCAUCAACAACAACAACAAUAUAAAGAUAUUCAGAAGCAAGACUUUUAAUUUUAUAAUUGGACACUAGACCAUUAAAACUAUUACCUUAUUUGUUAAAAUCAACUAAUUGAAGAUUGAAAGGUACUAUUUAGUCAACCAUUGCCAACUAAAAAAGGAAAUUUAUAGUCAAAGCAAUUACCAUUCUUGAACCAAAGCAAGUACAUAAUAAAUUGUCUUAAUAAGAUCACACAAUAUAAUCACAUGCUUAAUUUUGGUGAACAAAGUUACUCAAUAGACAACAAGGAUGCCUUGCUUGUCUUGUUUUAGUGACCAAUAUUCAACUUACUUGAUGUUUCUUUCAAGAAUCAAUAUGCCAUUAUGCAUUGAUCAUUAAUUUGCUUAUCGUGACAUAAAAACUAAAUACUUUUCCAUUAAACAAAGAAUAUGCAAGGCUCUUCCCCGUAAGAUAUUAGUGGUGCCGGCAAAUGAGUUGAAAAUGGGUCAAACAAAACUGAACUCGCUCAUAUUUCAUACACUAAUGGGUAUGAUCACUUUGCUUUUCAGGUUGACCAUUAGAUUUCUGAGAAUCCAGCAAGUUAAAUCAUCACAAAGAGGCAGAGGCUAAGCCAGAACAUCUGUGUUGAAACUGCAGCUGAAAGAAGCACACCAUUUCGUCAUUAAUAAGCUUCAAACAUACUCCAGUAGCCUUGAAAACAUGAUGUGUGAGAACCUUAAAAAGAGCACAUCAAUAAUGCACUACUUUGACAUAUGAACUGAACAUCACAACUCACAAGUGCAAUAAAUAAUGUUUCCACUAGAUUAAGCUGAUUGAAUAAAGAUUGAUUUUCACAAGAGAUGGGAACAGUGAAAAACAACCAACAUAAGCUUAAACCAACAUACUGAGACAUCAUUGACUGUUAGAACUUAUACAUCCAUGUACUCAGGGCAAAGGACUAUACUGUGUACCUACUUCACAUUCGAGUAAACAAGCAAGCAAGGGAAAUACCAUUAUUACUAGUAUCAAUUUAUCAAACACAAUCUUAUCUAGUAUAUUCAAACGUUUCCAAGUCAUGUUGGAUAGGAAGUUAAAAUGAGAAAUCUGGCAAGGAGACACCUCAUAUAUUAUGCAUUAGUAAUCUUGAAUACGAAUCAUGAUGAGCUUAAAUGAAGUAAGAUAAUAAAGAUUCAUAGAGUCGCCCCAACUAGCUUGAAGUGAGGCGUGAUAGUGGUUGUUAAUUGGAAGUCAGUGAGAAUGACAUAAAGAAAAAUCCAUCUGCUUAGAUACACGAAAUUCUGUCAAUAGCGACAGAUAAAUGUGCAAGCACAGUAAGAUAGAAAAAAUAAGUACCGCUGCUGCAUCUCAGUAGCAGGGACUGGACUGGAAAAGGAAACAUCCAUAACUGAAUCCAUUAAACAAUAAAAUGAUUGCCAAGACCAUAAUAGAUUAUCUGCAUUUCAAGAACAAGGAAAUAUUGUUUAGAUGAGUCAAUAUCAUCUUACCAAAAUAUUGCGAGUCGAGUCGUCAGAACAAACAGUUGAGAUAAGUACCUCAGAAAUCGACAAUAAAGCUGCCAAGAAAAAACAUGAGAACAUUCAUGAUUUGGAAGUUCACUAAGGUGUAUUCAGACAGUCAAUUGGAAAGUUUUUGGCAACUGAUUUUCUUUUCACUUGGUUAUUUGGCAACUCUCUUAUUUGCUCACUCUUAGAUAUUUCAAUUAUCAUAUAGAAAAUAUUUAAUACUCCCUUGUCUUAAGAUUCGUUGCUUAACAAGCCUUGACCACUAAACUAAAGGCCUAAAAUUGUGAAGAUUCACCAAAUCCAGCAUUCACCCAUCCACUCCAACCCCAAAUCCCCACUCCCAUUUUUUUUUAUAGAGAAUCUAAGAUUUCUCUCAUUGGAGUUCUAUUGUCAAUAGUUGAGAAAUUACAGUAAUCAAAAUUGAUGAGCUGUCACAAAAGGGAAAACAGAAUAGAUCAAAGUUAAUGACCCCGUAUCAUGAUUAAUCUAUUUCCAUAAAUAAAUGACCAGCUGUAGUCUACUGAUUUCUUAUCUGUCUAUAUAUUUUAUCCGUCGCCUCAGUCAGACAUUUUUAGAUUUUGAAAGCAAAUCCAACUCUAACGUUAGCAACAGUAGCUUCAACCUGAUUUGAACAGGAAUCAUUCAGAACCAGAUUUUAUGGGUAAACAAGGGCCAUGUUGCCAUUGUAGCAUCAAGCGUAAGUUCUAUUAACCACCUAUAUCCCGCCUUUUAUGUUUAUCAAUAAUCUCUUGCUUUACAGGAUAAUUGAUUCAGUGAUAUUUAGAAUUUAUGUGCCUGAUGUUAAGCAAAUAAACAUUGAAGAAUCACAUGCCUGAAACACUAAAUAACCAAAUUUCCCUAAAUUGCCGAUCUGUUAAACAUAAAACAUAGCGAACUUGAAUUUUCUCACCUCUCGAGCCAAAUGUUAAUUGAUUUUCAAAACAGCUCCCCUUAGUCUAACAGGAACCGAGGUCAUCUUGGAUAAAUUGUAGAUUUGGUCCCCAAUCCCUGGCAUAGAUGCACAUUUUGGACCCUGCUGUCUCCCGCUUCAUAUUUGGCACCAAUGACCCUGCUCCACAACAACUGUCUGUCAUUGGCAUAUCUCCAUAACCACUCCAUUCUAAGAGCUUUGCUUUGAAAUUCCAGAUUCUUUAUCCCAAGCCCCCAUUCUUCUUAGCAGUCAUCACAGAUUUCUAUUUUACCAGGUGGUACCCUUUCUUUUCUUUGUUUCCCAGCAACAAAAACUCUCUCUUAAUGUUGUCCAACCUUUUGAUAACCCCUGGUGGGAUGGGAAAUAAACGCAUCAUAUAAGUUGGUAAAGUAUCAAGGACUGAAUUAAUGAGAGUCGGUCUUCCUCUAAGGAGAGGUAUUGAGUUUUCCACCUGGCUAGCUUUUUUUCACACUUCUUUAUCACUCUAUCCCAUAUUUGUAUAGAUUUAGAUUUAGCCCCCAGAGGUAGUCCCAAGUAAAUUGAUGGCAGACUGCCAAAUUCUCCAUCAUGUAUAGCAGCUAGCCAGUUCACGUUGGUGACUUCAUUUAUAGGAUACAUUAGGAUCUUCCUCUAAAAUCUAUGUUGCUUGGACUCUCUGAAAUUGUUGCCGCACCCGUGUCGAAUUCUCCAAAAUGCACUACUUUUGGAGUAUCCGACAUGCACAACUUGACAUUUUUGAAAAAUCUGAGCAACAUAGACUAUAAUACCUACUCCAUUCCUACUCAAACUUCCUGAUUACCUUAACUUGAACCCACCUAUAUCCCUAGUCUUAGUUCCUACCCAUUAGGUGUCCUAAACACAAGGUAUAUUUUUAUUUUAUUUUGAUAACCGAGAAAUCCGUCUGUGACCCGCCCUUUGGACCAAUCACAGCCUUCUAAACUCAGUGGAUAAUGGGCCCGCCCCUCUACCCUUCUCCACUUAAAUACCAGGCUUCGCUUUGCAUGGUGUGGGGAUUGAACCUGCGACACAAGGUAUAUUGAUCCUCCUUCUCUUAAGAAUAAUCACCAACUCUAUUGACUUCCUCGCCAAUGUCCCUAUGUUCCAAGACAGAACUCUCAACCUAGGAGUUCCCUUGGUACCCUUACAACCCCUGCCCUCACCCCAAAUCACUGACAUGACUUUUAACUACCAUCAAACCUUUUGAAGCCACUAAUGCCAGUUAUAGAAUAAUCAAAAGUAAAUAAUCAAGUGGGGCAACCCGUAACGUCAAAAACCCUAGAUCCAAAAGUGGCAGUCACACAAUACAAUGAAGAAAAUAAAAAGAAGCAAUAAACUAUAGCAAAGAUACCAGUUCAAAGUAGGAACAAAGAAAAUGUAGUAAUAUUCACAAGGGCACAAUAAUAAAUUCACAAACACAAUAUCAGAUUUAAUAAAAUCAGUUAACAAUCAAGAAACGAUAAGGUCUGAACAAUCUCUCAAGGAAAAAUCAGGUCUAGAUAAGACAGGAAAAUAUAUAAAAGGGAUGGUGGAUCAUACCUAGGAGUUGAUGGGGAUAAAAAUAAACUAUGGACUGAUUUUCCGAAACCCAGCGAGCUCCGAUAUACUCCUGUCGUCUGUCGGUCGUCGGUCAUCAGGAUGGGGUCGCUGGAUUCUUGCUGACCGGUGUGGAAGUGCAACAAAAAAAAAACAGAGAAAGGGAGAAAGAAAGAGGGCAGGGGGAUUUCGUACCUGGUCGCCGGUGGUGGUGAGAGGUCAGGCCAGCAGCUUGCAGUGCAGGAGAGUAGUGGGUGAUCUGCUUUGGGGGGGGGGAGGGAAUUAUUUUACUGUUGAGCGCUAGAGAAAAGAAUAAGUCCCUGUUGAAUAUUAUACAGUUAACCACUGUCAGAUUAGAUGAUAGCAUUCCUCCUUAAAAUAUCAUGCAAAUAAAUGCAGUCUGCCAAGAGGUUAACUAUUUUGCAUGGUUCCUUAACACAACAAGCAAAUCCUUUUUAAUCUUUCCACCAUCAAGCUAGUUCAACUAUGUUGUAUGGUGCCAUAAGAUGGUGAUGAAAAUGUGUGUACACAUCCUAAAAGUCUAUAUAUGUUUCACAGAAAGAUAUUUCCUCUUGUUUUGCCAAAGAUAUUCCCCGCUAUACGUACUCUAGUUUCGUGACGCUUUUGUUCUCGUACAGUACAUUCUUAACCUUUUAAAGAAAAUCUUAAUUGUCAAUGGUCAUUGUGCUUUAGUUUCUGAGAUAAGUUACCUGUAAGAUUUUAUUCAUAUUUUGUCCCAUUUAAAUGCUAAUUAAUUGUGAACUCAAACAGAAACCCCCCUAUGGAGACCUGGGCCAACUGCAAAACCAGUGCUCUGCAAUGCGUGUGGAAUAAGAUGGCGAACUAGGGGAACACUAGAUGACUAUCUUCCCAAACAUGCAAGCAACGAAAAACAGAGCCAUCAGUUACCUUCUGAGAUGAAGCCGCAUCUCUUAGCUCGUGAUGACCAAAAGCUGGAAGUUGGUGAAGAGAUUUCUGGACAGGAUGGCUCUUCAGCUUGUCUUGAAGAGGAAAUGAUUCACAUAUCAAGCUUAGGUUCAGCAGGAUCAUCCCCAGACAAAUGCAUGCAAAUGGAAGAAACAAAUGGUAAAAAAAUUUCACUUAUAUAUACAUGAUGGACUUAACUGCACCAUCUCUUUUGACUCUUGCUGCCACCUCUCCUAACCCAGCUCUUUAACAACUCUAAAGUAUGUUCUGGCAUUGUCCAGUUCAGACUAGAGAUGCUGAGAAACAAAUUCCAGGUUUGCUUAGUAAAUUACAAGGCAAGAAUAGGUGGCUGUCAGUUUCUCUUGUCAAAUUGCAUAAAAAGCACCUAGGGACCAGCUGUCUGCCCUUCUUCUGUAGUACUUCCUGUGUUAAACAUGCCCUCUUUAUCAGUAGCCAAGUGAGACAUUUCACUUUUGUAGGAAUGUCCCCACUCCAGAAAUAGUUCCAGAGAUGUUUUGGAUCCCCAACCAUCAGCUGGAGACCUCUUCUGUAGACACUGCUAACUGAAUAAAGACCACUUUUUUUAAUGAUUCCACAACAUCUUGUCUGUGGAAAUUGUAUACAUACUCAUUCCACCUAUCUUCCCUAGUAACUCUGCAACCUUUUCCACCUCCCAAUCAUUUACAAGUCUUCUGAAGGCUAAAUCCCAUCCCUGUUCUGGCCCAACAGGCACCUACAUUAGCAUCAGGAUUCACACAAAUUUGGAAGAGAUUCUUUAGAGGGAACUGUUCUAUCCAGAAAUCUUUCCAAAAUCUUGUUUUACUGUCAUUUCCCACUUUGAUAUAAAAGUCUGCCUUCAUUUGAGGCCACAAACUUCUGAUUGUUCUCCAUACUCCCACACCCCUUAAGGUUCAACUGUGUUCUCUGUACACCAUGGGGUUAGCUCACCAUACUCGGCUUUAAUCACCUCUUUCCAGAAAGCAUUUCUCUCCUCAAUGUACCUCCACAAACGACUUCUUCAGAAGACUUCCAUUUUACAAUCUCAAAUUUCAAAUUCCCAGCACCCCCCCCCCUGUCUUUGUUAAGGAGUACAGUCUUCCAGUUUACCACAGGAGAGGAGUUUAGAUGCCCCGAAAGGACCUCUAAAGGUUUAUCUUGGAGUCCAUGUCUGGGAGCGACAAGUAUUUGUAAGAUAGUAUCUAGGUCGUGUCCUGAAUCAAAUCCUUUCUUAAGUGUAAGGGUUAUAAGAAAGUGGAAAACUAAUAUAUUUAACCAUACAAAUUUUUGUAACAGCUUACCCCCCACUCCCACACACAAAAAAGAAAAGAAAAUAUCUAUUGUAUUAGUACCUUAUUGUUUUAUGUGCACUAAUGUUCACCUUCUUUUUGAAGAAGCAGACAAAGAUCCUCACCUGAAUCCUGACAGUGUCCCAAGAAGAAAGAUAUCAAAGCUUAGACAUAGCAUUUUGUCACCUGCUCAAAUCCAGAGGACACUUGAUAACAAUCUCCAGGCACCAGGCUUUGAAAUAAUAUCUGACGGAGAUGAACCUGUUACUCUAAUUUAUGCAAGGAACAAAUACAUUCCUCCUAAUGAGAUUGGUCUUGGAGCUAUGCUGCUAGUAUCACCAACUACUACUAUAGAACGCUCGACGCCUCAAUCAGCAAUGGCAGAAGAUACUGUCUCUUGCUCAAUGGAUGUUUCUAAAUAAAAUUCAUCUACAAGUGAAUUUUUAGAUACAUGCAUAACAGUCAAGCUGGUAUGUGAAGCCAGCUCUUAUUGUCUAGCUAGUGCAAUGUUGGCUAAAAACAAUUUGGGCUGUUCCAACUUUACGGAUUUCCCCAACAGCAACUCGCAACAGUCUGGGUGUUUUGAGACCAUCUAGUUUGUCUUGUUCUGGAUAUUCAUAAUUUCUUCUGCUUUAUUGGAUGGAAUUUUUAGACAUGUCAAUUCUGCUUUUUGGAUGCAUUUAAUAUGUCAAUUCCGAAGUUUAUAACGCGUGCUUACCUACAAGUUUUUCAGUUUGUGUGGACUACACAGUAGACUAAAAUUGUAACAUCACAAAGGCCAUUUGACGUACAUAUGUUUGGCAUUACAACUGUAAUGUCUUGCAUUGUACUUGUUUCAGGAGAAACAACAAUGUACUAGAUCAUGUGGCUAUGCAAAAUGAAACUACUGGAAAUAAGGAUGGAAAAGCAAAUGCAUGUGAUAAUGGACUCGCUCCACAUCAUAUGGAUACUACAUCAAGGGUAUGUCAAUAAAUUGUUCUAAAAAAGGCUGCUGCUAUUGAAUUUUCUUCUGUAUAUGGAGAUGAACAUCUUAUUAUUAAAGAAAUAGGCAUAUCAGCCUCAGCAUAAGAUAUGCUCAACCACAAAAAGUUCAAAAAUAAGUCUACCAAAAAGUCUCUUCGAUCUCCUUUUAAGUUAUUAGGACAAGUUAAUAAGACACUACACCUUCCAAUAAUUGCUACACUAAAGAGAAGCUAGAGAGCCAUUAUUAAAUAAUCCAAGAGCAAUUGAGACCGAGAAUAAUUUAGUACUGAGUUUCAUUAAUGCCCCCAAGUGGCAACAUAGCACUCUUCAAAAUAGAUUUAUACUUUUAUAUUACUUAGUAGACUUUGAAGUAAUAAGAAGUAGACUUAGUAAAAGUUAAACGACAACACUCCUUUGGUGACAUUCCUGAUUCCACAACUUAUAUUGCUACUCUAGCAACAAAUAUUGCAGAAACCAAAACAAUGAAUUAACUAUUCACAACCAUAAAACUUCAUAGAAGGCCAUGAAGUACUAAAACAAAAGAAAGGGGCAAAAGAGAGUGAAAGAUAUUACUCCUUCGAAAAGGAAAAUGGGACGUGGGAAAAGAUGUGAAAUGUUAGAAUCUGUCAUUCUUUUGUUCAGUGGCAGAGCAAUGUAAGUAAUGAUAGCUGAAAAAGGAAACAGAUAAGCAUAUCUUAGGCUCCGGAGCAUCAUACAACUGAAAAAGGCUACUUAUGGGUUGUACUUUCGUAUUCUUAGUUUUGUUUGAAACAUAGGAUGCUUAAGAUACAAUUUUAUGCCAAAAAAGAAAAAGAAAAAUGGUGGAGUGAAGAUUUUCUACUAUAUACUCAAGUACAAGAAUGAAUCUUGAUGGAAGGAACAUAACAUGAUAGCUUAACACAAAACUUGCAACUGUGGAUUUCAAAGUCAAAAAAUACACCUUGUUGUCUUUCGGUUUAACUUUCCUUCUUUAUCGGCAAGCCUAUUUCUGUAUUUUUGCUUCAGGGUAUAUGCUUGUGACGUUACAACUACAUCCCGAGCAGACGAUAUAGGAUGCUUAGGGGUUGUACCUUCGUAUUCUUAAUUUUGUUUGAAACAUAGGAUGCUUAAUAUACAAUUUUAUGCCAAAAAAGAAAUUUAAAAAUUGUGGAGCGAAGAUUUUCUUCAAUAUACUCAAGUACAAGAAUGAAACUUGAUGGAAGGAACACAACAUGAUAGCUUAACACAACUUGCAACUGAGGAUUUCAAAGUCAAAAAAUACACCUUGUUGUCUUUCGGUUUAACUUUCCUUCUUUAUCGGCAAGCCUAUUUCUGUAUUUUUGCUUCAGGGUAUAUGCUUGUGACGUUACAACUACAUCCCGAGCAGACGAUAUAGGAUGCUUAGGGGUUGUACCUUCGUAUUCUUAAUUUUGUUUGAAACAUAGGAUGCUUAACCUACAAAGUUAAUUAUUUCAUCAAAAGGGAAGUAGAAUUUAUGGGAGAUACAAUUUUAUGCCAAAAAAGAAAAAGAAAAAUGGUGGAGUGAAGAUUUUCUACUAUAUACUCAAGUACAAGAAUGAAUCUUGAUGGAAGGAACAUAACAUGAUAGCUUAACACAAAACUUGCAACUAAGGAUUCCAAAGUCAAAAAAUACGGUUUGUUGCCUUCGGUUUAACUUCCCUUCUUUAUCGGCAGGCCUAGUUCUGUAUUUUUGCUUCAGGUGUAUGCUUGUGAUGUUACAACUACAUCCAGAGUAGACGAUAUAGAAAGUAGUUAAUGGACAUGUACUUUCACUAAUAUUGUUGUUCCACACACCAUAUAAAAUCCUUUUACUUGUCAAAAUAAUCAUUAUACAUCAACAGCAAAACAUAUGAUUUUAAAAAAUAACAAUCAAGUCAUCUUGGUUUCCUAAAAUGACACUUAUUUCAUAUCAACUUUGAAAGGCUAAAACAACAUUUAAAAUGGACUGGAGGUAGUACCAUUUAUUUUCUUUUUUCUUCAUAGUGCUAUUUCUUUGAUAAGGUAAACUUAACCCCAUACCCAAGAGCCCAAUAAUGACUCUUUUUCUCACAUUGCGCCAUCAGUGACUCAAACCUCUUGUUAUAUAUAAAGGUGGAGGUUCCUUACCACUAGACCAUCCCUCCGUGUCACAUUUAUAUACUACUUAUAUAAGAGCUUUUAGGAGUUAUAUGUUACAUGCAGUAGUCAAUUCCGUACUCCAAUGUUGCUCUCUUCCAAUCACACCUCAUUUCUAACAUUUAAGUCCUUCUAUUCCCUAGGCCAAAUUUGUGUUGUAUAACCUCUUUCCAUAGUGCAUGCUCCUCUUGGUUGUACCUCCAUAGCCACUUGCUUAGCAGACUUUUGUUAUGUAACAUGAGCUUCCUUACUCCCAGACCCCCAUUAUUCCCCCUUUGUUGAACUUCUGCCCAUUUUACUAAAUUGAAACUGUUAGAAUAUGAAUAGGUUUAUACAAUCCUAUUAGAAUAGGAAUAGGUUUAUACAAUCCUAUUAGAAUAGGAAUAGGUUUAUACAAUCCUAUUAGAAUAGGAAUAGGUUUAUACAAUCCUAUUAGAAUAGGAAUAGGUUUAUACAAUCCUAUUAGAAUAGGAAUAGGUUUAUACAAUCCUAUUAGAAUAGGAAUAGGUUUAUACAAUCCUAUUAGAAUAGGAAUAGGUUUAUACAAUCCUAUUAGAAUAGGAAUAGGUUUAUACAAUCCUAUUAGAAUAAGAAUAGGUUUAUACAAUCCUAUUUAGAAUAGGAAUAUGAAUACAAAUAGGAAUAGUUAAUAGUAUCCAACUUGGUAAAUGAUUGUAUUCUAGUGUCUAUAAAUAGGGUCUCAAUGUAAUAAUGUAGAGACAACAACAAUUCAAUAAUAUUCUUUUUCAACAUUUCUCACAAUUGAGACAACAUUCCUCCAUAUGAUAUCAAAUUCACUUUGUCCCAUUUCAUCGCAUCCAGUCAUCAUUUAUGUGCUACAACUUAAUGCAAUAAAGUCAAGCUAAAACCAACUUAUCAUCAAAAAAUACAUGUUAUGGUAAAAACCUUAUCAUCAAAAGAAAUCUACCAUUGUCUUUUCAUCACUACUCAUAUCUACAAAUUAAUUACUUCUUGAAGUGACAAAAGAUGUUCUCUUUAGCUUAAUAUAUUUUCUAGCCCUUUGAUUCCAAUAAUUUAGCUGUAUUGUCUUAACAUGUACAUUCAUAGUGCAAUAUUAUCCAAAGUAUGUACAACUAAUUGACAUGACAAGUUUUAGUAUGAUUGCAAGUAUCACGAUGAGUCAUGGUAACCAUACUUGUUCAACCUGAUAAAAGAAAAUAGCAAUCAGAUAAUCCCCACAGCCAAAAAUAGUGCUAACAUAGAGACUUGAAAUUAGUGCUAGAAAGGAAUCGUAAAAAGCAUUUCAAAGUUAAGAGAAUAUGAGGACAAAUCAAAGCACCGGUACCUACUACUCUAUUUAAGUAACCUUACCAUUAUGUCAAUAAAGACUACAAUCAUAAGGAAAAAUCCAACAAUUUAUCCGUAACUCCUCCAUGUUUUUGUUUGUUCCACUUCAUUGCUCUUUUCUUUUUCGUCAAGUAACUGAAUCUAUGUUUCCUUCCUUUGCAUCUGUUGCAAAUAACACAUCUUCUGUCUCUUUUCCUCAUAAUCUCUUGGGUAACUUAUCAAUCCAUCAAAAAAAAAAAUGUAAUUAAGAGGUUAUAUUUAUAUCCUUCGAGUAUAAACAUAUUGAUACUUGAAACUGCACAACUGAGUCCAUCUGGAAGAUCAGCACCUAAAAUCCUAAAUGAGCAAAAUGAAUAGUUUCAUUUGUACUAACUGCCAGAAAACUAAAUAAAAAAUCUUCUAGUUAAGAUAACAGCUGCAUUAUUAAUCAUCCAGUUUGUGAGGUAUUUCCAUUCAUUCCAAUAAACUGAAACAGAAAAUGUGGAAAGCACCCGAAGUAGUAAACAACUAAUAGACUCAUCACACGGAGGUAGAGACACAAUUUGAUCUGUUGAAAACACAAUUCAACAAUCAGUUUAUUUAUUUCUAUGGAUACAAUACACUUCUUAAUUUUAAGAAACUUCUUCUUCCAAACAUCUCUUUGGCUUUUAUCUAAGAAUUGACAUGCCACCUCUGUUCUGUUUUUUUGGUAUAUACAAGAAAAUACAAAUAUACAAGUGUUUCCUCAUCGACAAUCUUCUUUGCAGUCUAGAACUAAAAUUGAGAAUUUCAAAAGCAAGUCAGGUAAUAGUGUAUGUUCAAUCUCUUUUGUGAUUUGGUACAUCCUUGCAUAUUUCAUAACAACUACUUGAGGUACCUUAUUUAAUUACUGCUUGACAUUAAUUGCUCGAGGUCUCCAGCCAGAAACUAUAUUUUCGAAGAGCUCGGUGUGGAGCAAAAAUAGGAUAUCCUAGAGGUCAACAACGGCUCUCGACAACUUAAGCUACAUCUCUGCUUAAAUUUGUUUCGGUUAAUGAAUCUACUUCUAGAAAGCUCUACAAAAUUGAAAUCAAACAAAUAUCAUAUAUUUGAAAGACAUGUGUUGCUAUAUCUACCGGCAUCAACAGACUUAUGCAGACAUAGGCACAUUUCAAUUAAGUAAAUUUUUUAUAACCGGAGAAAUCCCCGAGGUUCCAAACUCAGUGGAUCUUGAGCACAGCUUCUUCCCACCCACCUCCUAUCCAUCCCCCAACCCCAGCCCACCCAAAAAGAGGGUAGUGAAUUUGAAAGCACUUCUGAACCUUUUUAAUUUAUUAGAAAGCACCUUAAAUAGAAUCUUGUAAAUGCUUCCUACCGGACUAAUAGGUCUAUAGUCCUUUAUACUUGUCACACCUUCCUUCUUUGGCACAUUAGUAACAAAGGAUGCAUUAAGACUUUUCUCGUACUCCCCUGAAUUCUGAAUUCUGCAAUGGUCACCAACAGCUCACAUUUGACUAUCCUCCAACAUUGUUGGAAAAGAGCAAACGAGAAUCCAUCAGGACUUGGAGCCUUGUCACCCAGACAACUAUCCCUCACCUCUUCUUCUUCUACAGCCCUUUCCAACCACUCCCUCACCCCCUCCCCUAUUAGGUUAAAUACUAGCGCCCCCCAGAAUUUUUGUCUCCACCUGAUAACUUCCUUGAACGAAUGUUCAUAAAACCAUACAAUGGCCUCCUCCACUUCCGCCUCCCCCUCACGCGCCUAUAAAAACGAUAAAGUUUCUCUUCCUAUUUGCUAUGGCUACCCUAUGAAAGAAUUUUUUGUUAGAAUUCCCCCUCUUUCAACCACAAUGCCCUCAAAUUUUGCCUCCAACUAGUCUCUUCGGCAACCGCUAGAGCCGCAAGCUCCCUCUUUGCCUACUCAUAUCUGACCUUCUCCCUUUCUUCUAACAUCCUCAUCCCUUCCACAUGCUCAAUCUCCCCCACCUCAUUUAUUAGCUCUCUUAUUUUAAACUUUCACCCUCCCAAACACCUCUUUGUUCCAUUUACUUAUAUCUCCGUUUACAAUUUCAACUUACAGGCAAGUCGAAAAGAUGGUGUGCCAGUUUUUAUUCUUGAAAAACUUCAAACUAUAUUAAAAAUAAAUAUCACAUGACUUGAGCAACUAAAUAUGAUGGGAUCCAGUUUUAGUAGCCCAGUGAUUCAGGCAAUACAAUUUUUAGUCAUUUUAUUCUCGUGACAGGGAAAUUUCCCCAUAGAACUAAGAAGAGAUGUCUAUAGAUAUUUCAUCAUAAGCCAUACCACGGCAUUCAACAAUUUCUUUGCUAAAUUCAUACCUACGAUCAAGUCACAAUAUGUCAGAAAGUGCAAUAACAGUUAUCCUGUUACAAUAAAUAGACACAUAGAAACAUAUACAUUAAGAUGUCAAUAACCUAUAGGUCAAGAUAAAAUACCAACAUAUUCUAUUUGGAAAUACUUCGAAAAUACUCUCCACACAAUUUCUUCUUGUUCCCCUGUAUAAAAGGCAACGUGGUUAACAGAGCACCAAAUCUCAGGUAAGCUUCCUAUAGAC
This 17835-nucleotide long non-coding RNA is filed under the name Solanum tuberosum (potato). RNAcentral's name for it is "long non-coding RNA (STUB_LNC002361)". The record is from RNAcentral. Lineage: Eukaryota; Viridiplantae; Streptophyta; Magnoliopsida; Solanales; Solanaceae.